Molecule: long non-coding RNA, 41222 nt
Filed under: Nicotiana benthamiana
Lineage: Eukaryota; Viridiplantae; Streptophyta; Magnoliopsida; Solanales; Solanaceae
Description: long non-coding RNA (NBEN_LNC007073)
Source: RNAcentral
UAUUAGUACUAUUAAAUAUACUACAUAUUUAUAUAUAAUUAGUAUAAUUUUACAUAUAUAUAUAUGUAUAUAUACAAGAUAAAACCGGAAUACAAAGAUGGAGUGCGGUGCCGCGAUCGUUGGCGGUCACCUUGCUCAAUUACCAGAAUUUGGCCUUCGAUCCUACUAAUAACCCACUAUCGGGUGAACAAUACCUGCAACUGCACGCAAGGUGCAGGGAGUAAAGUGAGUACUUCCAACUCAGUGGUAAUAAGAGAGAAUAAUAUCUGAGAGAUAAGAAAACAUGUAUGAGCACACCAAAAUGCUAUAAAAGACAGAACAAUCCUUUUUGAGAAAAAUCGAAAUACCGUGGAGAUUCCUUUAGAAAGUCUCAAGACCAGUUCAAAAAACACUUUCGAAAAUAUGUUUUUUCAACAAUUGCAAAGAUAAUUUCAACAAGUAGGAAAUAAUCAGAAAAAACUGCUCCUCGGGCUCAAUAUCAACCUCUCAGUACAGUACAAGCCUCGCGGGCUCACUCCCAACUCACAAUAUCCAUCAUCAGCCUCUCAGGCUCAGCACUCCUCAACAUAUAACAUCAGGGUAUCUGGUCAGCAAGGAAAGUAACAGUAUGUAUGCCAAUGAUAUAUGAGUGCUAAAUGUCGUGCCACGUAGUACAAACAGGAGUAGUGCAUGAAUGCAAUGCAAUGCAUGAAUGAACAUUGCGGAACGUGCAGCCCGAUCCUUUUGGGUACCCGCGCUCACUGUGGGGGUUCGGAUUCCGGAGGGGCUCCUACAGCCCAAGCGCAAUAUCAAUAUCACACAGUUGCGGGUCGCGCAGCCCGAUCCAUGCAAUAUGCUAAUACAGCGUGCAGCCCGAUCCAUGCAUGUAUAUGCACAUAUACACAUAUCACUCGAGGCUUGCAAGCCUCCAUACAUCAUAUUCAUGCCCUCACAUAUGACCCUCAGCCUCGAUUAGUCUAAAAUAGUCAAAAGCCCCUCGGGCAUCCGUAAAACAAAUAUACUCAGCUCAAAUGAUAGUUCAAACAUCGUUUAAAACUUCAAGUUUGAGUAAAAUAUAGCUGAGUUCAUAAAACAGUGUUAAAUCAUACGGACUGAGUUCAAAUAGUAUUUCAAAUAGUGAGCAAAAACAGUGAUGAUAGCUCACAAAGCGUUCAAACAAUCGGCAAUAAGCCCAAGUAUGGCAAUGAGCCCAAAUUAUCGAGACGUCUUUGCCCCUCAAAUCGGCCUCCACGCGUGCCGAAUCUAGCAAAAAACAGAGCGAAUACAUCACAACAUUCCAAUGGGACAAUAUCCAAUCGAAAACAAUCGAGAAAUAGCAAGAAUGUCUAAACUGGCAAAACCUGAUCCCCGGGCCCGCUUCUCAAAAAAUUAAGAAACUUAAUUCUUCGGAAUCCACGUCUCAUCACGAGUUCAUACAUACCAAGAACUCCCAAAUCCGAGCUCAAAUGACCUACCUAAUCCCAAUUUGAAAUAUCAAAAACUCAAGCCCUAGUUUCUUCAGUUUUUGGCUUAUUCCCAUGAAUUUCUAGGUAGAUUUCCCAAUUAAAAUGAGUUUUAAGUUCAAAGAUCUUACCUCCAGUCAUUUCUCUUCGAUUCCCUCUUCAAUUCGCUCUCCCAAGCUCCACAAUCGCCCAACAAUGGAGUAAAAUAACACAGACUCGCGGAUGAAAAUUGACUUAAAUCAAUUCUGCGCAGGUGCCACUUACCCUACGGAAACGCGGUCCAAGACCCACGUGUUCGCGAUGACCAAACUAUGCUGACCCCAAAUUAUCCUUACGCGAAUGCGACCACCAACCUGCGAACGUGAAGUUUCAUAGUCUCCCCUCUACGCGAACGCGUUAUAUGCACCGCGAAUGCGAUGCUUUACUUCCCAGUACCACGCGAACGCGACCUUGAGCUACGCGAACGCGACGACUAAUUUCCAGGCCUCCCAAAUUACUCUACGCGUUCGGGACACUCCCCACGCGAAUGCGUUGAACAAAACUUCUGCAACAUAUGACAGCAAAAAUCUGAUCUCUCACAAGGCCAAAACUAGUCCGUUUGAACACCCGAAAUCACCCCGAGGCCCCUGGGACCUCAACCAAAGACACCAACAUACCCCAAAGCAUCAUACAAGCUUGUUCCAAUCACAAAAAUACAUCGUCUAACAUAAAAAUCAUCAAAUCACGGCGGAUUCAAGCUUACAAUUUUUUAAAACUUUUGAAACUCAUAUUCGAUCAAAAACCCGACGAAACGAUGUCCGAAUGACCUGAAAAUUUACAAACAUAUCCAAAAUCACCUAAAAAAGCUACUGCAUUUCUCGGAAUUCCAUUCCUAUCCUCGGAUCAAAAUCUCACCUACCAACCGGAAUUCGCCAAAAUUCAAACUUCGCCAAUUCAAACCUAAUUCUACAUCGGACCUCCAAAUUCAAUUCUGAUCGCUCUCCUCAUGAAAACUUCACCUCCCGAAGCUAAAAGAAUCAUCGAGAAUCACAUCCGAGCCUUCUAACUCACGAGUUGACCUUUCCAAAACAAGCUUCCUUCUAAGAGGCCAUGCGCCUUACUUUCAACCAAAACCAAUUCAAUUAUACCCGAUCAACUCCAAUACUGAUAUUGAAACAUGAAGCAACACAAUAAGGGGGAAACGGAGCAGUAACACAUAAGAAGACGGGUCGGGUCGUCACAUCCUCCCCAACUUAAACAAACGCUCGUCCCCGAGCGUACCAAGAGAUGUACUAGAAGCAACCCAAUAGCUGAAUGACCUUACCAAGCACAUUCCCGGGGUGAUCCCACAUCACCCUAUCUUACAUAGGUUCCGAUUAUACAACACAACUGAAAUUUCAGAAUCCAUCAUGCCCAUAAACCGUAGAACCAUACUGCACUUCCCGAAAUCAUACACAAGUCAGAACCUCACCUCUAUACCCAGAAUUAACCCGAACCAACUGUAAUAAUCCAGACCUGCAACCUCAGGUGAAUUCAUGCAAUAUACCACACAUUCCAACACUCGGAACGAUAGCCUCUAUUUACAGCAGUUGCCCACACUAACCAAAUACUGAUAGAAAAAUCUUUAUAUUGGCCAACGUCUUAUCCCAAUACCUUCAUAUACCGCCAACGGCAAAUGAAACACGUGAUAAACCGAACCCAUCUCUCAGAUCACCCAUUCAUGAGUCCAUUUCCUUUCUGACUGAUACUACAACUGAUUUUGGAGCCAAACCUCGAUAUUACUUUUCUAACAAGCAGAAAUCAAAUAUGCUCGUACUCAGUAAUGACUCCAACAAUCAUCUCAACUACAAUACGCCACUCCGGUGAUAUGACACCUCAACAACGGCCUAAGCCACAUCGUGCUCAACACAUGCACCAAUAAGAAACGAUCUGAACACACUCAAAUCAUGACUACUGACUCAAAUGAAAGAGCUGUACUUCACCUCAACAACGGCCUAAGCCACAUCGUGCUCAACACAUGCACCAAUAAGAAACGAUCUGAACACACUCAAAUCAUAACGACUGACUCAAACAAAAGAGUUGAACUUCAAAUUCCUCCGUACGAUCAGAACACACAACUGAGAUCCCAUCUUAUAUCACAGAAAUAGAGUACCUGAAUCCUCCUCAAAAGGUCAUAACAUCACGCGGCCUUGCCACAGCGCACGAUUCUAUCCAAGCACUAUUACCCAUGAAGCACCUCAAGUCACCAUGCUUAACACGAUCAGCAUACACAUAUUGAGGUCUUAAACCUUGCAGUACAUCACACCCACGAUGAAGCAAGUAUUAUACACUAUUCAAUCCUGAAAGGACAUAACUGAUGCGGUAUUCGCCUAGAAACGGCCAAUACGAAUUUUCCUAAAAAACCAGGAAACAAGGCAUACAAAGUAACAUAUAGGAAAAUUGUUCUCCACAUCACACUGUUGCGGCGCAACCCGGUCCAGAUAACAUACCCGUGGUGGCGUACCACCCGAUCCAGAUACCAUACCCGUGGCGGCGUGCCACCCGAUCGCACAUAUAGUUCACCAAAGGAGAUGUACAUCGAGUCAAAUUUGCUCAUGACAAUAAACACAUAUAGCCUCAUGCCCGACCGCAAGAAACGCAUCCGAAAAGUCCAUCAAUACUGGAAUUGAACCCAUGGUAGAAACCUCAACACUGACAUCUGCCACGAAGGCCCAAUCAAUAACCAAUGCUUGCCAGCCAUCCCCUGGUCCUUGGAACAUAACUACUCUGCUAGAACAAUAAUUCGAUGCAUCUUGCAACUCAACCUGUGGCUUUUCCUGACAUACCCCAUGACACAUUUAUCUAGACAAUCUAACCCUGGAACAACCGGUCUGCCAUCAACCAUCAUAACCCAAUAUUAACAUACCAAGCAAGGAAAGAUCCACUCGGACCUCCAGUUUUCAUUAACUGCUAGACGAUGUCGAUACACACGACCCACAACCACCGCAUGGUCGAAUUACAAGAACUUCUAGUCUCCAACACAUAUAACGCAUGAAUCACUAUGCCUGAUCCCACACUCCGCCGUACGAAUACAUAACACACAUCAAGUAUCCAUUAAUACCACAAAAGAUAUUCAAGCGCCAUCAACAAACUCAAAUAUCCGCAGUCGGUCCAACAAGAAAAUGCCGCAAUACUACUGACGUAUCAUCAAUUUACAUUAUCUUAAUCAUCUGAAGAUCGAUUCUUUACUCACCUGUAGCUGACCAUGCUACUUAAGAAUAUAAUGAUUUCCUAUUAUGAACUGAAACAAAGCCUUGAACCCGCAAUUCUCAAUUCUCCAUAUCAUAACACACAGACCAUACCACACUAGGAUAACAUUCCCAUUUUCAAACCACAGUGAAACACAUCAAGAUCUCUUUCUCCCAAUUCCAUUGCACAAGCUAAACUACCAGGACUGAAUCCUUCUACACAAACCAAGUUAUGCAAACUGCUAGCACUUAAAACUUUGUUGCACAACAUUGUAAGGCUCAUUACCUCGAACACAUACAAUAAUUAAUCAUAUCCUUACCAUACCGAUUCGGUUCAUUAUCAAGCUGUUCCAUUUUAUCAUAUUUCCUUCCCGGCUUGUCUUUAAUUUGAUAUUUUCGCUUGCUGUAGCACCACAAUACCUCGACUUAAGUUACCACACGAGACUCGCACAUAAAACCACACUGUCCAAGACCCAUAGGCCACGGAAUACCCUCUUAAACGAUUCCAAGAAAUGCCACGUUCCAGAAUGCUUUACCUUGAAGAAUUUCGUGCGAUUCUAAAUUCGCUUACCAUUACAUUACAAAUAGGGAUACGUAGAAUCCCAUGAUUAACACAAAUUACCACAAGUCUUGACCUUUCCUAAUAAAAAUACUGUCGCUAGCCACAUACACAAACUUAAGACAUCUGAUUGUUACAUGCAAAAUCUUGGACACAAUUAAACCAAUCUCGAGAGUCAUUCACUCUUAAACAACUAAAAUUUACCUUCCUUAACGGACAGAACCACCCGUGCUUUAUUAGUACUCUGACACCGCAGAACAUGAUCUCAUACAGAUAUAAAAAAGCAUCUUUCUUCCCUAUACACUGAGCAUUCUUUAUCAACAACAGUUCAAAAGAUCCUAGUAUUUCUUCACAUCUACGAAGCACCAUAUGUCUUUUAUCAAAAUUUUCCUUCACACGUUCCAUUAUCGGCUCAAUUCCUACGACCAGACCUGAUCCGCCAACAUACCUUGAAACAGAACCAAUUAUAGCAUACAACAAUGCAAUCAGCUAAUCCAAAGCAACCUCCACAACUUGGCUCGAAGCCAUAUACCCGGACUCGCUCAAUAAUCCUAAUACUUCUACAUCUAAUGAAAUCACAACAUUAUAGAGAGAAUUAAACUCAAGUCAUUUACAAGUUUUGUGAAUACACAGAUUGUCCACAACAGCCGAGUCCAUUUUGUUAGACGUCCCCAAAUUCUCAAAUUUCAACACAUACCCUUCAAUUACACAUGAGAUAUUUUACAUACACAUACAGAUCAUACCGCUCAAAACCCUGUACAGGAGUUAACCCACCUGCUUCGCCUCAUUUCAAUAUCUCCGCAUACCUUCCACUAUCAUACACGUAAUACAAAAGCAUUUAGUCUUUCUGAGUCUAUACUCAUACUGCCACAUGGAAUGUACCUUACUUGCCAACCCAUAACUCGGACUACACAUAAAAAUCACAAUAGGAGUCGAACACUCGACAACUCUCUAUUAUUCAGAAGACUCUCUCGUCACUACCAAGAUCACAUAGAUACACCCCACGGUACUAACAUACUCAUCACAUGGAUAUCCAGCCGCCAUUCCGGCUAAUAAGAUCAAUACUGAACAUAUAAGUUCGAAUCACUUACUCACUCAAUCAGCACCUCGGUGUUCAAACCGUAGGCAAUUAUCCGGCCUCGAGUCCUCCAGACUGGGCCAACAUGAACUUACAGAGAUUACCUCUUGCCCCUCGAUCGAGAAUCACAAUCCAUCAAGGCACAUAUACUACUGAGCACUCACGUGCGCAUACACAUGUGUGGAAGGAAUUUCAAGAAUUAUAUCUCAAGCUGAAUCAAGUACGGAAGAUAAGAAUUCCAAGAAUGGGAAGUUUUCCUAAAGGUUCUGCAGCCUCUCGAGGAUAAAUACAGACGUCUCUGUGCUUAUCCGCGAGACUCUACUAACCCUGCUCAUUACUCGUGAGACCUAGUAACCUAGGGUCUGAUACCAACUUGUCAUGACCCAAAUUCCAUACCCGGUCGUGAUGGCGCCUCUCGGCAAGACAAGUCCAGCCAACAACCCCAAAUUCCCUGCUCAUGACUCAUGAGACCUAGUAACCUAGGCUAUGAUAGCAACUUGUCACGACCCAAAUUCUAUACCCGGUUGUAAUGGCGCCUCUCAUGAAGACAAGGCCAGCCAACAACCCAAAACUCCUCUUUAAGUAGUUAAACCAAUAUAUAGCAUAUCAAAUCUAGAUUUAUGACAUUAAUUAAUAUGAAAAUCAAUACAGCUCGAUCGAGGUGUCACAAGUCACGAGCAUCUAAUGAGUAGGGACACUACUACUGGUCCAACAAUGUAUAUANNNNNNNNNNNNNNNNNNNNNNNNNNNNNNNNNNNNNNNNNNNNNNNNNNNNNNNNNNNNNNNNNNNNNNNNNNNNNNNNNNNNNNNNNNNNNNNNNNNNNNNNNNNNNNNNNNNNNNNNNNNNNNNNNNNNNNNNNNNNNNNNNCAACAAUGUAUGUAUAUAUAUAUAUAUAUAUAUAUACAAGAUAAAACCGGAAUACAAAGAUGGAGUGCGGUGCCUCGAACGCUGGCUGCCACCUUGCUCAAUUACUAGAAUAUGGCCUUCGAUCCUGCUAAUAACCAGAUAUCGGGUGAACAAUGCCUGCAACUGCACGCAAGGUGCAUGGAGUAAAGUGAGUACUUCCAACUCAGUGGUAAUAAGAGNNNNNNNNNNNNNNNNNNNNNNNNNNNNNNNNNNNNNNNNNNNNNNNNNNNNNNNNNNNNNNNNNNNNNNNNNNNNNNNNNNNNNNNNNNNNNNNNNNNNNNNNNNNNNNNNNNNNNNNNNNNNNNNNNNNNNNNNACUCAGUGGUAAUAAGAGAGAAUAAUAUCUGAGCGAUAAGAAAACAUGUAUGAGCACACCAAACUGCUAUAAAAGACAGAACAACCCUUUUUGAGAAAACUCGAAAUACCGUUGAAAUCCCUUUAGAAAGUCUCAAGAUCAGUUCAAAAUCUCUUUUGAAUAUAUGCUUUUUCAACAGUUGCAAAGAUAAUUUCAACAAGUAGGAAAUAAUCAGAAAAACUGCCCCCCGGGCUCAAUAUCAACCUCUCAGUACAGUACCAGCCCCGCGGGCUCACUCCCAACUCACAAUAUCCAACAUCAGCCUCUCGGGCUCAGCACUCCUUAACAUAUAAAAACUGCCCCCCGGGCUCAAUAUCAACCUCUCAGUACAGUACCAGCCCCGCGGGCUCACUCCCAACUCACAAUAUCCAUCAUCAACCUCUCAGGCUCAUCACUCCUCAACAUAUAACACCAGGGUAUCUGGUCAGCAAGGCAAGUAACAGUAUGUAUUCCAAUGAUAUAUGAGUGCUAAAUAUCGUGCCACGUAGUACAAAGAGGAGUAAUGUAUGAAUGCAAUGCGAUGCAUGAACACUGCGGAACGUGCAGCCCAAUCCAUUUGGGUACCCGCGCUCACUAUGGGGGUUCAGACUCCGGAAGGGCUCCUACAACCAAAGCGCAAUAUCAAUAUCACACCGCUGCGGGUCGUGCAGCCCGAUCCAUGCAUGUAUAUGCACAUGUACACAUAUCUCUCGAGGCAUGCAAGCCUCCUUACAUCAUAUUCAUGCCCUCACAUAUGGCCCUCAACCUCGAUCAGUCUAAAAUAGUCAAAAGCCCCUCGGCUCAAAUGAUAGUUCAAAUAUCACUUAAAACUCCAAGUUUGAGUUAAAUAUAGCCGAGUUCAUAAAACAGUGUAAAUCAAACGGACCGAGUUCAAAUAGUAUUUCAAAUAGUGAUAAUAGCUCACAAAGAGUUCAAACAAUUGGCAAUAAGACCCAAGUAUAACAAUGAACCCAAAUUAUGAUGAUAACAACAAAUUGUUUGCAAAUACGCGGUAAACCAACAACCGGGACGGACCAAGUCACGAUCCCCAACGGUGCUCUACCCCACGCUUAGGUCCUGUGUGCAAGUCACCUCAAUACAGUACUAAGAUGUGCAAAUCCGGGGUUUCAAACCCUCAGGAUAUCAUUCCCAAGUAUUACUCACCUCGAACCGGCGAAAUCUCAAGCUUGCGACGCCUUUGCCCCUCAAAUCGGCCUCCACUCACGUCGAAUCUAGCCAAAAACAGAGCGAAUACAUCACAACAUGCCAAUGGGACAAUACCUAAUCGAAAACAAUCGAGAAAUAGCAAGAAUCUUGAAACUAGCAAAACCCGAGCCCCGGGUCAGCUUCUAAAAAAAUUACGAAACUUAUAUUUUCGGAAUCCCCGUCUUGUCACGAGUUCAUGCAUACCAAGAAAUCCCAAAUCCGAGCUCAAUUGACCUACCAAAUCCCAAUUUGAAAUAUCAAAAACUCAAGCCCUAGUUUCUUCAAUUUUUGGCUCCUUAAUAACUCCAACGAUCAUCUCAACUACAACACGCCAGUCUGGUGGUAUGACAUCUCAUUAAUUUCUUCAGUUUUUGGCUUGUUUCCAUGAAUCUCUAGGUAGAUUUCCCAAUUAAAACGAGUUUUAAGUUCAAAGAUCUUACCUCCAAUCAUUCCUCUUCGAUUCCCUCUUCAAUUCGCUCUCCCAAGCUCCAAAAUCGCCCAACAAUAGAGAAAAAUAGCAUAGGAUCGCAGAUGAAAAAUGACUUAAAUCAAUUCUGCCCAGGUGCCAUUUACCUUACGCGAAUGCAGUCCAAGACCCACGCGUUCGCGAUGACCAAAUUAUGCUGAUCCCAAAUUAUCCUUACGCGAAUGCGACCACCGACCCGCGAACGCGAAGUUUCAUAGUCUCCUCUCUAGGCGAACACGCUACAUGCACUGCGAACGCGAUGCUUUACUUCCCAGCAUCGCGCGAACGCGACCUUGAGCUACGCGAACGCGAUGACUAAUUUUCAGGCCUCCAAAAUUACUCUACGCGUUCGCGACACUUCCCACGCGAACGCGAUGAACAAAACUUCUGCAAUAUAUGACAGCAAAAAUAUUAUCUCUUCCAAGGCCAAAACUAGUCUGUUUGAACACCCGAAAUCACCCCGAGGCGCCUGGGACUUCAACCAAAGACUCCAACUUACCCCUAACCAUCAUACAAACUUGUUCCAAUCAGAAAAACACGUCCUCUAACACAAAAAUCAUCAAAUCACGACGGUUCAAGCUUAAAUUUAUUAAAACUUCCGAAACUCAUAUUCGAUCAAAAACCCGACUAAACGACGUCCGAAUGACCUGAAAAUUUGUAAACAUAUCCAAAAUUACCUAACGAAGCUACUGCAACUCUCAGAAUCCAUUCCGACCCUCUGAUCAAAAUCUCACCUACCAACCGGAUUUUGCCAAAAUUCAAAAUUCGACAAUUCAAGCCUAAUUCUACACCGAGCCUCCAAAUUCAAUUCCGAUCGCUCUCCUAAGGCAGAAAUCACCUCCCAAAGCUAACAGAAUCAUCGAAAAUCACAUCCGAGCCUUCUAACUCACAAGUCAACUUCCGGUUGACUUUUCCNNNNNNNNNNNNNNNNNNNNNNNNNNNNNNNNNNNNNNNNNNNNNNCAACUUCCGGUUGACUUUUCCAAAACAAGCUUCCUUCUAAGAGGCCAAGUUCCUUACGUUCAACCAAAACUAAUUCAAUUACACCCGAUCGACUCCAAUACUGAUAUUGAAACAUGAAGCAACACAAUAAGGUCUAUCACACCCACGGUGAAGCAAGCAUUAUACACUAUUCAAUCCUGAAAGGACACAACUGAUGUGCUAUUCACCUAGCAACACCCAAUACGAAUAGUCCUCAUAAACCAGGAAACAAGGCAUAAAAAGUAACAUAUAGGAAAAUUGUUCUCCAAAUCACAUUGUUGCGGCGCGCAACCCGGUCUAGAUAACAUACCCUGGCGGCGUGCCACCCGAUCCAGAUACCAUACCCGUGGCGGCGUGCCACCUGAUCGCACAUAUUUCACCAAAGGAGAUGCACAUAGAGUUAAAUUUGCUCAUGACAAUAAGCACAUAUAGCCGCAUGCCCGACCGCAAGACAGCAUCCGAAAAGUCUCUUAUACCGGAACUGAACCCAUGGUAGAAACCUCUACACUGACAUCUGCCACAAAGGCCCAACAAAUAAGCAAUGCUUGCCAGCUGUCCGCUGGUCCUUGGAAUAUAACUACUCUGCUAGAGCAAUAAUUCGAUGCACCUUGCCAUGCAACAUGUGGCUUUUCCUGACAUAGCCCAUAACACAUUAGUCCAGACAAUCUAACCCUAGAACAACCAGUCUGCCAUCAACCAUCAUAACCCAAUUUUAACAUACGUAGCAAGAAAAAAUCCACUCGGACCUCUAGUUUUCAACAACUGUUAGACGAUAUCGAUACACACGACCCACAACCACCACAUAGUCGGAUCACGAGAACUUCUAGUCUCAAACACAUAUAACGCCUGAAUCACUAUGCAUGAUCCCAUGCUCCGCCAUACGAAUACAUAACACACAUCAAGUAUCUAUUCAUACCACGAAAGAUAUUCAAAAUUUCCUGCAGCAUCAACAAACUCAAAAAUUCGCAAUCGGUCCAACAAGAAAAUGCCGCUAUACUACUGACGUAUCAUCAAUUUACAUCACCUUAAUCAUCUGAAGAUCGAUUCUUUACUCACGUGUAGCUGACCGUGCUAUUCAAGAAUUUAAUGAUUUCCCAUUAUGAACAUAACCAAAGCCUUGAACCCGCAAUUCUCAAUUCUCCAUAUCAUAACACACAAACCAUACCACACUAGGAUAACAUGCCCAUUUUCAAACCGCGGUGAAACACAUCAACAACUCUUUCUCCCAAUUCCAUUGCAGAAGCUAAACUGCCAGGACUGAAUCCUUCUACCCAAACCAAGUUAAGCAAACUGCCAGCACUUAAAAGCUUUGCUGCAAAAUACUUGUGAGGCUCACUACCUCGAACACAUACAAUAAUUAAUCAUAUCCUUACCAUACCGAUUCGGUUUAUUAUCAAGCUAUUCCAUUUAUCCAAUUUCUUCCCGAUUCAUCUAAAGCAAACUGCCAGCACUUAAAGCUUUGCUGAACAAUAUUGUAAGGCUCAUUACCUCAAACACAUACAAUAGUUAAUCAUAUCCUUACCAUACCGAUUCGGUUCAUUAUCAAGCUAUUCCAUUUUAUCCAAUUUCCUUCCCGACUCGUCUUUAAUUUGAUAUUCUUCCUUACUAUAGCACCACAAUACCUCGACCUAGGUUACCACACGAGACUCCCACAUAAAACCACAGUGUCCAUGACCCAUAGGCCACGAAAUACCCUCUCAAAUGUUUCCCAGAAAUUCCAAAUUCCAGAAUGCUUUGAAGAAUUUCCUACGAUUCUAAAUUCGUUUACCAUUACCUUCCAAAUGCGAUAUGUAGAAUCCCAUGAUUAACACAAAGUACCACAAGUCUUGACCUAGUCUAAUGAAAACACAGUCACUAGCCACAUACACAAACUUAAGACACCUGAUUGUUACAUACAAAAUCUUGGACACAAUAAAACCAAUCUCGAGAGUCGUUCACUCUUAAACAACUAAAAUAUACCUUCCUUGACGGACAAAUCCAAUCGUGCUUUAUUAGUACUCUGACACCGCAGAACAUGAUCUUAUACAGAUAUAAACAAACAUCUUUCUUCCCUAUACACUGAGCAUUCUUUAUCAACAGCAGUUCAAAACAUCCUAGUAUUUUUUCACAUGUACGAAGCACCAUAUGUCCUUUGUCAAAAUUUUCCUUCACACGCUCCAUUCUCGGCUCAAUUCCUACGACCAGACCUGAUCCGCCAACAUACCUUGAAACAGAACCAAUCAUAGCAUACAACAAUGCAAUCAGCUAAUCCACAACAACCUCCCCAACUUGGCUCGAAGCCAUAUAUCGGGUCUUGCUAAAAAUCCUAAUACUUUUACAUCUAAUUAAAUUACAACAUUAUAGAGAGAAUUAAACUCAAGUCAUUUACAAGUUUUGUGAAUACACAGAUCGUCUAGCACCGAUAUUCUCUGCAAAUCUCGCAUUCAUUUACACAUCAGCUGAGUCCAUUUUCUUUGACGUCCCCGAAUUCUCAAAUUUUAACACAUACCCUUCAAUUACACAUGAGAUAUUUUACAUACACAUACGGAUCAUACCGCUCAAAACCCUCUACAGGAGAUAACCCACCUGCUUCGUCUCAUUUCAAUAUCUCCACAUACCUUCCACUAUCAUACACGUAAUACACAUCCAUUUAGUUUUCUGAGUCUAUACUCAUUACUGCCACAUGGAAUGUACCUUACUUGCCAACUAAGAGACAUGAAAUAUUCUUCACGCGCCCAUAACUCGAACUACACAUAUCACAAUAGGAGUCGAACACUCGACAACUUAUCUAUUAUUCGGCAGACUCUCUCGUCACUACUAAGAUUAUAUAGUCUCGGGCUACAUAUAAAAAUCACAAUAGGAGUCUAACACUCGACAACUCAUCUAUUAUUCAGCAAACUCUCUCGUCACUACCAAGAUCACAUAGAUACACCCCACGUUCCUAACAUACUCAUCACAUGGAUAUCCAGCCCCCAUUCCGGCUAAUUAGAUCAAUACUGAACAUAUAAGUUCAAAACACUUACUCACUCAAUCAGCACUCGGUGCUCAAACCAUUGGCAAUUAUUCGGCCUUGAGUCCUCGAGACUGGCCCAACAUGAACUUACGGAGAAUACCUCUUGCCCCUCGUUCGGGGAAUCACAAGCCAUCAAGGCACAUAUACUACUGAGCGCUCACGUGCGCAUACAGACGUCUUGAAGGAAUUUAAAGAAUUAUAUCUCAAGAUGAAUCUAGUAUGCACGAUAAGAAUUCCAAGAAUGGGAAGUUUUCCUAAAGGUUCUGCAGCCUCUAGAGGAUAAAUACAGACGUCUCCGUACCGAUCCGCGAGACUCUACUAAUCGGCUCAUGACUCAUGAGGCCUAGUAACCUAGGCUCUAAUACCAACUUGUCACGACCCAAUCUUGAUCGUGAUGGCGCCCAACACUGUCUCUUCUAACCCUGCUCAUGACUCGUGAGACGUAGUAACCUAGGCUCUGAUACCAACUUGUCACGACCCAAAUUCUAUACCUGGUUGUGAUGGCGCCUCUCGUGAAGACACGGCCAGCCAACAAAAGACAGAACAACCCUUUUUGAGAAAACUCAAAAUACCGUGGAAAUCUCUUUAUAAAGUCUCAAGAUCAGUUCAAAAUCUCUUUUGAAAAUAUGCUUUUUCAACAGUUGCAAAGAUAAUUUCAACAAGUAGGAAAUAAUCAGAAACACUGCCCCUCGGGCUCAAUAUCAAUCUCUCAGUACAAUACCAGCCCCGCGGGCUCACUCGCAACUCAAAAUAUCCAUUAUCAGCCUCUCAGGCUCAGCACUCCUCAACAUAUCACACCAGGGUAUCUUGUCAGCAAGGCAAGUAACAGUAUGUAUGUCAAUGAUAUAUGAGUGCUAAAUAUCAUGCCACGUAGUACAAACAGGAGUAAUGCAUUAAUGCAAUGCAAUGCAUGAACACUGCGGAACGUGCAUCCCGAUCCAUUUGGGUACCCGCGCUCACUGUGGGGGUUCAGACUCCGGAGGGGCUCCUACAACCCAAACGUCAUAUCAUACAGUGUUAAUAAUUACCAUUGUUUCCAUUACAAUACACGAUGCCCAUAGUUACCACCAUUUCCGGCUCACUGUGGGGGUUCAGACUCCAGAAGGGCUCCUACAACCCAAGUGCAAUAUCAAUAUCACACCUCUGCGGGUUGUGCAGCCCGAUCCAUGCAUGUAUAUGCACACGUACACAUAUCUCUCGAGGGAUGCAAGCCUCCUUACAUCAUAUUCAUGCCCUCACAUAUGGCCCUCAACCUCGAUCAGUCUAAAAUAGUCAAAAGCCCCUCAGGCAUCUGUAAAACAAAUAUACUCAGCUUAAAUGAUAGUUCAAAUACGCGAGAUUGUUUGCAAAUACGCGGAAAAACCAACAACCGGGACAGACCAAGUCACAAUCCCCAAUGGUGCUCUACCUCAUGCUCAGGUGUUGCGUGCAAGUCACCUCAAUACAGUACUAAGAUGUGCAAAUCUGAGGUUUCAAACCCUCAGGAUAUCAUUCCCAAGUAUUACUCACCUCGAACCGGCAAAAUCUCAAGCUUGCGAAGCCUUUUCCCCUCAAAUCGGCCUCCACGCACGUCCAAUUUGGCCAAAAACAGAGCGAAUACAUCACAACAUGCCAAUGGGACAAUACCCAAUCUAAAACAAUCGAGAAAUAGCAAGAAAAUCGAAACUAGCAAAACCCGAGCCCCGGGCCCGCUUCUUGAAAAAUUACGAAACUUAUAUUUUCGAAAUUCUCGUCUUGUCACGAGGUCAUACAUACCAAGAAAUUCCAAAUCCGAGCUCAAAUGACCUACCAAAUCCCAAUUUGAAAUAUAAAAAGCUCAAGCCCUAGUUUCUUCAAUUUUUGGCUUAUUCCAUGAAUUUCUAGGUAGAUUUCCCAAUUAAAACGAGUUUUCUUACCUCCAAUCAUUCCUCUUAGAUUCCUUCUUCAAUUCGGUCUCCCAAGCUCUAAAAUCUCCCAACAAUAGAGGAAAAUAACAUAGGCUCGCGUAUGAAAAAUGACUUAAAUCAAUUCUGCCCAGGUGCCAUUUACCCUACGCCAAUGCGGUCCAAGACCCACGCGUUCGUUAUGACCAAAUUAUGCUGACCCAAAAUUAUACUUACGUGAACGCGACCACUGACCCGCGAACGCGAAGUUCCAUUGUCUCCCCUCUACGCGAAUGCGCUACAUGCAUCACGAACGCGAUGCUUCACUUUCCAGCACCACGCGAACGCGACCUUGAGCUACGCGAACGUGAUGACUAAUUUCCAGGCCUCUCAAAUUACACUACGCGUUCGCGACACUCCCCAUGCAAACGCGAUGAACAAAACUUCUGCAACAUAUGACAGCAAAAAUCUGAUCACUCCCAAGGCCAAAACUAGUCUGUUUGAACAUCCGAAAUCACCCCGAGGCCCCUGGGACCUCAACAAAAGACACCAACAUACCGCGAAAAAUCAUACAAACUUGUUCCAAUAAUAAAAACACGUCCUCUAACACAAAAAUCAUCAAAUCACGACGGAUUCAAACUUAAAUUUUUUGAAAACUUCCGAAACUCAUAUUCGAUCAAAAACCUGACUAAACGACGUCCGAAUGUCGUGAAAACUUGCAGACAUAUCCAAAAUCAGCUAACGAAGCUACUGCAACUCUCGGAAUUCCAUUCCCCUCAUAUCAAAAUUUCACCUACAAACCGGAAUUCGCCAAAAUUAAACUUCGCCAAUUCAAGCCUAAUUCUACACUGGACCUCCAAAUUCAAUUCCGAUCGCUCUCCUGAGUCAAAAAUCAUAUCUCGAAGCUAAGCGAGUCAUCGAAAAUCACAUCCGAGCCUUCUAACUCCCAAGUCAACUUCUGGUUGACUUUUCCAAUACAAGCUUCCUUCUAAGAGGCCAUGCGCCUAACUUCAACCAAAACCAAUUCAAUCACACCCGAUCAACUCCAAUACUGAUAUUGAAACAUGAAGCAAUACAAUAAGGGGGAAACGAUCAGUAACACAUAAGACGACGGGUCAGGUCGUCACACUCAAUGAGACAUAUGGUGCAGUAAGAAGCAUCAUUCUGAUGUUGUCUCCCCUUCCUAGUGUGAAUCAUGCCUACUCCCUUUUGAUUCGAGAUGAAAAACAAAGGGAGAUCCAUGUUGGAGUACAUCCUGCAGAAUUUGCUUUUAUGGCAUCAUAACAGCAGUUUCACAGUCAGAAAAAUGGAGAAGGAAAAUUCAAAGGAACUCUCAAUAUAAAGAAGUCGUUUGCAACUAUUGCAAAAAAUCAGGACAUACAAUUUAUUAGUGCUACAGAAUUGUUGGCUUUCCUCCAAAUUUUAAAUUCAUUAAGUCUAAAAAAUCUCAGGGAGUUGCUCAUACUAAUGCUGCAAUUGGAGAAGGAAGUGCAACUCAAAUAGUCCAUUGGGGAGAGGGAAAUUCAGCAGGAAAUAUAACACCAGAACAAUUUUCUCAGCUCUAUCAUUUGCUCCAACAGGUGAAAGUUGGACAACAAGGUGAGCAAAUGACUGAGUGUUGAUACACAAUUUUUUCCCAUGUAUUUAUAUACUCAAAAUACUCCCAAAAUAGCAUGUAUAUGUAUAUAUAAGCAUCCACAAAGGUCUUGGUAUUUUUCUACUUUUGAUUAGGUUUUUAAAAUCAAUUUACGGCUUAAUUUGCAAUAUAAAAUCCAAUAUUUAGUCCCAAAUCAUGUUAUUUUGACAAGUAAUCUAUUUCAUUCUCUCAUCUACGUAUAAUAUAAUUUAUAUAAUUUUUUACAGAAUUUUACAAAGCCAUUGGGUAUUUCUAAAUUAAAAUUGCAUUAUAUUGCAAUUGUAGCCCAUAUUUAAAUUUAAUAAGUAUUUGUAUUGCAAAAUUGUUCCUAAUACUUUUCAACUAAUACCUAGUUACAUUUUAUUAACUCAAUAUUUUUAUUGGAUUUUUAUAAGGUUGUUUCUAUUUUAUAAAAUUAAAUUGGGAGAAAUGACUAUUUAAAUGGUAACCUUUUAUGUUUCAAAUCUAACCCAAAUUAAACCCCCAAAUUGACCCCCCAAUUACCUGAUCCAAUAUCAAAAUUACCCGACCCAAACCCACAUAAAACUAACCUGCCCCAGUUCCCUUUAAUAGUGGCCGUUGAUCACUCAGAUCAACGGCCCACAUUUCACUUACCAAAAUUAAAUUCCAAAUAACCCCUAAACCCUAAUCAGUUUACCAAACCAGCCGCCUUUGAACCCUAAAUGCUCUCUAGCCACCUGAACCCUAAUCUUCUCCGGCUCUAUUUCACCGGCGUUCAUGGUCGUUCAAGCCCUAAGACGUCUUUAUCCGUUCACUCCUCAUCUCUCGUGGUUCCUGGGUUCGAAGAUCGGAACCCUACCUCAAAGUUGACUGGACGAGAGGUCCUCCGAUGUGAUUCCUUCAGCCGUGUCCGGCCUUUCUCCGACAAGCCUUUAGUCUCGUGGUCCUUUACCGACUCCGACGAGUCCAGUCCAGGCUUUUCUCGAUACUUCGAGUCCUUUCUCUGAAAACACUAAUUUCUUGAGGUUCUUCUCUUUGUUCACUUUUACGAUCCUCUCUGAGUCCUAGUAAUCUUCUAAAGAUUUUUAAAUAUUUCUCGCCUCUUCUUCGCCUAUUUUUGUUUUCAAACUGUUCGUCUUUUUAAACUUAGGGUUUCCAUGACUUCUCUGAUUUCUUUGAUUUCGUUGUUUUAUUUGCUACUGUGUGUUCUUCUAUAUGAUUUUUGAGCAUUUUCUACUAUGGCUCCGAGGCGUUUUGCUUCACUAAUUAUUUUCUAGGGUUUUCAGUUAAUGUGUUCUAUGCUUUCCUUUAUGCUGUUCUGAUUUUGUUCACCUUCAUCUAUGAUAUUCUUAUGCUCUAAUAUGCAUUGGAAACCGUUGCUUUAUGGGGGCUUUUCCAUUGUCUCUCUAUGAAACCCUAGCCGCCUCGAAUUGCUUUCGUGUGUGUUUUUCUACAUGUUUAUUCUACUACUUCCAGUUUAUGCAUGCUCGAAUCUAUGCAUCUUUUGUAUUACCAUUUCCCCUUUCUCUGAGCAACCCUAAAUUGGAAAAUUGAGUUUGUACAGUUGUUUGAUUCUCUAAUUGAACUUUGUUUUCUGACUAAGUUCGAAUAAGCUAGUAUCUCAAUUCCUUGAUUUUCUAGGUAAUUAGCCCGCCUUAUAUGUUUACCCGUGUGAUUUUCAAAACUUCUUACACAUAUUUGCUCUAUAUUAUGUGAUUAAUACUCGAUUUUCUUUCCAAAAUUAGGCUAAUAUUUAUUUACCUCCAGCCGUUCCUUAAUUAAAAGGAGCCUUCUCCUUAAUUGUUUAUGAUUGGUACUGAACCUGUAAACGGCUUUUAAAUGCUAAAUCUGUGGUUUCAAACGUUUUUCCUGCCUAAGUUUAAUAUUUCAAGGUCUUUAAAACUUUUCUCUCGUUCAAACGGUGUGGCUGACUUGUAAGCCUUUUCUAAACUUGUCUGUAACUUUAAAUCUCCUUUAACAGACUCUUGUCACUAACGUUUUCCUCCUGAUUUUCUAAAUCUUGUCAAUUCCUGAAACGGGCCCGGGGAGCUCGUAGUAGAUUUUCUAUCCAACUCUUAUGUAUUAAACUUAUCUGCCUGCUCUUUUAACCUCUUUUAAAGAUCAAAUCAGUAUUUUAUGUCAUGCUAAACUAGUUGCUGUUAUGUUACGGGGUUUAUUUGAGACUUUAAUUGUCCUAUUUGCAUACCACUUAUAUGCUAUGUGUUUUGACUGUCGUUCUAGUUUUUUUUCCUUUGAAACUAUUAUGUAUAUCCUAUCUCUCUCGCCCCCUUCUUAGGAUUAGAAGUCCUAAUACCCCAGGACUAACAGGGAAUACUCCAUAUAUAUAUCCUAUCUUUCUCUCCCCCUUUUGGGAUUAAAAGUCCUAAUACCCCAGGACUAACAGGUUGGGACGGGUAUUAGCAUGCAAUAAGUAAACGAUACCAACACUUUUAAAUACCUUAACGGGGUGGGAAGGGUAGAAUAUGGAGAUGAUGACCGGCAUGCUAAUACCAUAUGCGACCCCUCUUUGAGGAGUUUGUGUAGGGUUUUGUACCGAUGUGAUCCAUAUUAUAAUUAAACCUAGGACCCUUAUCUCUUUUGUUUGCUUUAUUUAAAUGUUCUCCUAUAGUCAUGCUUUUCCAAAUCAAUCCUCCCUUUUAUUUUAAACUUAUGUCCUUCCUUCUUCUUUAAAACUUUCAAGUUGUGUGAAUGCUAUAUUUGUGAACCUUAUUUGUUUAAUUGCUUCAUUUCUUUAUAAAGUCACAAUUAACACGGCUGGGAACCACACUAGUGGAUCUUGAGGGGUGCCUAACACCUUCCCCUCGAGAUAAUCUCAAGCCCUUACCCGAACUCUGGUUUACUAGUGGAUCUUGAGGGGUGCCUAACACCUUCCCAUCGAGAUAAUCUCAAGCCCAUACCCGAACUCUGGUUUUCUUUCAAAAUACUUCUCCUAUCUCUAAAAGUGUUCUAUUGCACUAUAACCAUUAGGUGGUGACUCUUCAAAUUCCAUAAAACAACUCCCAAAGGGGAAUGAGAGUUGUUUUGCCCAUAAUGUCGUAAAACCCAAUUUCUGUUUUUGAAAAAGGAGGCGUCGACAACAUGGAGACUCUGCUGGGGAAUCUAUUUAAGGCUCUUACCAUUACGUGUUUUGUGACUUUAUUACUUUCUUUAUUACCUUUACUUAUUGUUUUAAUCAUUUCUUCUCAAUUAAAAACUUGUUUCUUCAUGUCUUCUUUUUUUGCUUUGCAACUGUUUACUGCUUUACUGCCUUUAUUUUAUUUUAUUCCAUUUUAAAUACCGAGCAUCUAUUGUAAUCAUUAUAUUAUGAAUGUGAAAAUACAUGUAUUUAUUUUAUUAUUGUAAUUGCACCUUUCAACAUCAUUUUACACUCGUGCCAAACAAAUACUAUGGCAACGCUUAUAAUGAGUGGUUGCGCUCUUCCAAUAUUUAUAAACCCCUUAAAUUUUGAAAAGGCAUAUUUGCGAUAAAACCGGUCUAUGAACGGUGUAGUCGGCGGUUCUGUGCCUUUCCUUCUUGAGUUGUCCGCUCAAGGGUACCUUGUCUAGCACUUCAAAAGUAGGAACCUUACUAUGUUUAACUGUUCACGCAUCAUGGUCAAACUAGCCGAGUCAGUUAUGUUGUCCGCAUAAGGCCUCAUUAGGAUAGCCUAAGCCAAAAGUCCAUUGGGUUUCCUUGAAACCCAAACAGACAUUCUCGUUAUGCGCAUUGAUUUGGAGAACUAAAUACCUUUUUCUAAUUAUUAAUUUAAAUAGUCGCAUCUGGUGGGGUUAAGGUCCUAACCUCUAUUUUGCAGGAAAUGAGGCAUGAGGUCCCCUGAUUCGGUAUGGUAUCAAGCAUUCACCCAAAGUUACUAAGCUGGUGGGAGGAUCUGCAUGGUAGUGAUCGGGUUUUUGUCCGCAAGCACAUUGGAGAUCUCCCUUCACUCCUGGAAGUUAGGCCAGAUAAUAAGAUUGUGGAAGCUGCUACUAUGUUUUGGGAUAGUGAACGGUGUGUCUUCCGCUUUGGCGGUAUUGAAAUGACGCCGCUGUUGGAAAAAAUUAGGGGUCUAGCCGGAAUUCCUUGGGAUAGCCCGGGGCUGUUUAUGCCAGAAAACCGCAAAGGUAGAGGGAAAUGAUGGGGCUAAAGAAGAAUCCUAAUCUAACCAGUACGAAGGAUACCUACAUAUCCUUCGACUUCAUGUAUGAAAUGUUUGGACAUAGCAAAUCCUACCACACUCACAUAGACGAGUUCGCCCUCACCUCUUUGGGGCACAUACAUAGGAGAGCCUUUGUAUUCAUGUCCUGUUUCCUGGGCAUGAUAGUCUUUCCAAUGAAGAAGGCUAGAAUCCACACAAGAUUAGCCAUGGUUACCAAAGCCACAAUGGAGGGUAUCGACGGGCAGACAUUCAACAUAGCACCCAUGAUCCUUGUCGAACUAUACCGAGCCUUAGAGAAAUUUCAACAAGGGGCACCACACUUUGAAGGGUGCAAUUUGCUACUACAACUCUGGCUCAUUGAACANNNNNNNNNNNNNNNNNNNNNNNNNNNNNNNNNNNNNNNNNNNNNNNNNNNNNNNNNNNNNNCAACAUUACUAUUACAUAUGGUGCAAUUUUCUACUACAACUAUGGUUCAUUGAACAUCUUCAGAAGGGAGAUUAUAGACAAGAGAUCAUACGACGAGAUUGGGAUGACCAUAUCGCUUUCCAUCAUCCAAAGAGAAUGCACUUCAUGCCAGAUAUGUUCGCUCGUCCGGAAGAUGCCAGUAGAUGGGUAGAACUAUUUGAGAAUUUGAAAGAAGAGCAGGUACAAUGGAUUUAGGAAUGGUUUCUAACAGGUACCCUUAUGUCCAUCUCCGAGUCAUGAGGCGAAGCGGGAAGAAAGCAGAUUAUACCAAGGGUAGAAACGUUGAGUCACUACAGGGCUGACUUCUAAGAUGAUGAUAGUCCACACAGGUGUCGGGCUCAGCAUAUGUGGCAUUCCAAACUCAUUUUAGAAAGGAAUCUAUGGAACCAGACAUGUAUCAGGCAGGGCUUGCGCCGCUUUAUCCAGGAUGGCUAGAAGACGAUCAUAUUGGCUUGGGAAAAACAGGUUUCAUCCAUGGUCACAGGGUUAUUGAUGAGAACAUUGAAGCAAAGGUCAAGUAUAAUGAGCUACGCAAACGGAUGCGAGAGUGUGAAAGUGAAUAUCGGGAAAUACUAGAGGCCCAAGAGAAGAUAAUCAAUGAGUGAAAAGACAUGGAUGUCUCUGCAAACAACCGUUUAGGGUACUUGGAACAGGGUCUAGUGGAGCUGGAAGGCAAGUUUCUGAUAAGGAUCAACGACUGUUAGGAAGCUGAGGGUAACGAAGGUGGGCACUUGGCUCGGGCUUACUUGUUGCUGGGACUGCGCGAGCUGAUGAAGCUGUACGAGGGAGGCAAAGAUACCGAAUCUGGGGAAGGUCCUUCUUGACCAAGUAUUUGGGAUUUUUACUGCUUUCUUGAUGUAAUAAGGGCACUGGCCAUUAGUGACAAUUUCUCUUUAUUUUCAGUCUGUUUUGACUCGUUCUAUUUUCUAUCGAUAAAAUGAGGCACUUGGUGUUAUAAGUNNNNNNNNNNNNNNNNNNNNNNNNNNNNNNNNNNNNNNNNNNNNNNNNNNNNNNNNNNNNNNNNNNNNNNNNNNNNNNNNNNNNNNNNNNNNNNNNNNNNNNNNNNNNNNNNNNNNNNNNNNNNNNNNNNNNNNNNNNNNNNNNNNNNNNNNNNNNNNNNNNNNNNNNNNNNNNNNNNNNNNGAAUCCGCACUAACUUUUUACCUUUUUGUUUUUCUUUUAUUUUUAUUCCCCUACCCAAAGGUUAGUUCGUGCAUUCUGGCACCAUCACCAUGCUCAAUAAGAUCAAAGGUCCUCCUCCUCCUCCUCCGAGUCCCCCCAGAAACAGGAACAAAGGAAAGAUGGGAGAUAAUUAAGCAAGAAAUGAAAUUUAAGGAACUUCCCAAGGUACCCCGAUCACCAAAGAGACUGCUAUUCAUUUGGAGCAAACUUUGCUAAGGUUCCAAGAGGAACUAGACCCGGUCAAGAGUUUGGCAAGUUUGUCCAUCUCCCUUGCUGUUGCAGAUGUCAACAAUCAGGUCCCUGCACCUCCGCAGAAGACCCUAACCCAAGCUCGCAACAAUGCUCCACCACUCAUCCCUGAGCCUCAAAAUGCUCCAAACCAAAAGUCCUAGUGCUGUUGCAGAUGUCAACAAUCAGGUCCCUGCACCUCCGCAGAAGACCCCAAUCCAAGCUCGAAACAAUGCUCCACCGCUCAUCCCUGAGCCCCAAAAUGAUCCAAACCUUCGUGGAUACUGUGCCGUAAUAUGCAUGGUCUAUAUCAGAUGUAUCAGAAUUAGACUAACUCAUUCAGAACUUGGCUGCUGAACUCAAGAAACUCACUUGCAGGGUUCAAGGCGUGGAAGGUGAUAAGGGUGUGGAGAAUUUGAAUAUGAAGACCUUUGUGUUCAACCUGAUGUUGAAAUCCCAGAGGGGUACAAACCUCCUAAGUUCGAAAUGUUCGAUGGUACUGGUGAUCCCAGGGUUCACCUCAGGAUGUAUUGUGACAAGUUGGUGGGAGUUGGUAGAGAUGAAAAGAUCCACAUGAACCUAUUUAUGAGGAGCCUGAAAGGUGAUGCUUUAUCCUGGUAUAUCAGCCAUGAUGCAAAGAAGUGGACAAGCUGGGUGAACAUGGCAUCCGAUUUUAUGGAUCGUUUUAGAUUCAACACUCAGAAUACGCCAGAUGUAUUCUAUAUAAAAAAUUAUAAGAAAAAGCCUAAUGAAACCUUUCACGAGUAUACUACUCAUUGGAGGUCGGAAGCUGCCAAGGUCAGACCGACUUUAGAAUAAGAACAAAUGAAUAGGUUUUUGGUCCGUGCUCAGGAUCCACAGUACUACGAGAGAUUGAUGCUGAUAGAGAGGCAAAAGUUCUUUGAUAUCAUCAAACUGGGAGAAAGAAUUAAUGAGGGCAUUAAAAAUGGUAUGGUUACUAACCUUGAGGCACUGCAGCUACCAAAAAAGCCUUACAAUCUAGUGGUACGUUGAAGAAAAAAGACAUAAAAUCCGUAAUGGCUGCAAAGAGAAACCACUCUCCCAUGAAAUACCAACCAUACUCUCCAAAUCCACUCACAUACCAACCCUCUCUAAACUACUAGGUACCUUCACCUACCUAUCAAAAUCCACAUCACGUCUACCAAACAUCUCCAUCACCGACAUAUCAGCCCACCUCGCCAGGAUAUUCACGACCGCACCCGUAUACCAAGCUUACAACUCCCAACCUCCUCACUAUCCAUCACCACCUACCUGCCAAAACUUCCCACAACAGAGACCAAACUUUGACCACAAACCGCCCAGACAAUAUACCGCUAUUGCCUAACACAUUGACCAACUGCUUGAGAAUAUCAAAGUCGCUGGAUAUGUUACACCCAUUCCAGCCAUAACCCCAGAAAACCCUUCCCAAUGGAUCAACAUUAAUCCCAAUCUCCUCACUAUCCAUCACCACCUACCCGCCAAAACUUCCCACGACCAAGACCAAACUUUGACCGAAAAUAGCCCAGACAAUACACUGCUAUUGCCGAACCCAUUGACCAACUGUCUGAGAAACUCAAAGUCGCUGGAUAUGUUACACCCAUCCCAGUCAUAACCCUAGAAAACCCUUCCCAAUAGAUCAACCCAAAUAAAACAUGCGCAUACCAUUCGGGGAUGAAGGGCCACACCAUCGAUGAGUGCCGUUCGUUGAAGGACAAAACUUAGACCUUAAUUGACAACAAGGUCACUGUAGCUAAAGAGCCUACUCGCAAUGUUCGUAACAACCCUUUACCAGACCAUAAAGGUGGAGGCAUCCACAUGAUUGAGGUUGAAGACGACUGGGACCCCGACAGGUCAAUCGGUUUGAUAUCUGAAGGAGAUGAGCCCAAAAAGCUAGCGGUCACUCUUAAUCCUAUUGUUGUACAGAUCCAUCCAUCUAAGGGCAAUAUGGUGAAUAUAUCUGUACCAUUUGAGUUCGAGGCACCUCCUGCAAAAGUUCCAAAACCAAUUGAGGUGGAGUUCGGGACUCUAAAGGCGCCCGCACCGAUUGAAGUUGCUAUGUUGCCUCCAAGGGUGCCCAUUCUGGUCACCAUGUCAGACAUAACCUCAUUUCAAUCAAAUGCCAUACCUUGGACUAAAAAAUCGAGGCAAGAAGGAAGGGAAAAGCACGCACGGGUAAAGCAAUCGCCGCGCAAGGUGUGACUAGAACAUGCAGGGUGUACAUACCAGAGCACCUAGCUGAGUCCAACAAGCAGGCCUCUGGAUGUCCCACUGAAAUUGGACCUGAUGAUCUCUAGGGAAUAUACAGGCUAAAGAAUAUUCAGCUGUUGAACAGCUAAACAAAACUCUGGCACAUAUUUCCAUCUUGGCAUUGCUGCAGAGUUCCCAGGCGCAUAAGAACACCUUGAUGAAUAUAUUGAGCGAGGCUUCUGUCCCGAGCAACAGAACAUGAGGAGAGAUUGCAAACAUGAUAGGGCAUGUAUUGGAAAGUCACAAAAUCACUUUCCACAAGGAUGAAUUGCCACCUGAAGGGACCGGCCAUAACAAAGCACUAAUCAUUACUGUGCAAGGAGAAAGAGAUAAAGAAGAAAAUUCUCAAAUUCCCACAAAUGGUUUGAAUAAGCAUUCCUUAGAGAGGGAAUGUCGGAUGAGACACUAUUUGGCCUUCUUUCAGGAGUUGUAGAUAGUAUCACCUUUAGCUGGUAGCUAGCAAAGAAGUUAUCCCCUAUCAACGUAUAUAGUUGAGGAAUGAGUGCAACAUGAAGAUCAUUUCAUCACCAGGAUUUUAGUCAACAGAGGUUCUAGCCUCAACAUUUGUCCAUUGAUCACCCUCAAGAAGUUCAAAGGAUUUCAUGAGAUAAAAGAUGGGGCUAUUAACGUUAAGGCUUUUGACGGAUCUCAGAGGUCCACCCUCGGGGAGAUUAGCCUAUAUUUGCAAAUGGGCCCCACUUUGUUUGAUGUUGAUUUCCAAGUCAUCGACGUACCAGCAUCUUACAACUUAUUGCCAGGACGACCCUGGAUCCAUGCCGCUGGGGCUGUGGCAUCAACCUUUUAUCAGGCCGUGAAGUUCGAGUGGAACCAUCAGGAAGUGAUCAUCCAUGGCAACGGUAGCAACCCCAUAUACAGUCUCCAGACCAUUCCGAUGAUCGAAGGCAGAAGAAGAAUAGGCGCAGAAACAUAUCACCAUAUUGAGCGAGUCAACGCAGUGGACAAGAACAAAUGAUGGAGUAACAAGGUCGAGAGCAUUAGUAAUUGGAGCGGGUAUGAACCAAGGAAAGGACUUGGUAAGAAUCUUCAGGGCAUCACGAAACCUAUCCAGUUGAAGAAGCAUGGUACUACAUUCGGACUAGGGUACGAGUACACUUGGAAGGAAUUCAAAAAUUGGUCACCACCACGGCGCAGUCCAUAUUACCCAUUGGAAUACCCCAUACCUCAGUUGGAGUAGAAAUUUCAGCCAGCCUACACUCUUUACGGGCCAGAAGAAGACGAGGCUCUUACGACAAUGAAGAACUUGUUUUUGGAGGAGGACAUGGACUGUUGUGUGACUUUUGAAUAGGAAAGGGAGGAAGGCCCUUCCUUUCAGGCUAUAAACCUUGGGGAUCACCUUGCCAAUUGGUCAAUCAGGACCACCAUCGCCCGGAAAUCUUCAGGGUAUCAAGGCUGAACAAGCAUCAUGCAUCUUUGUUUUAGUUGUUCCUUUACUUCCCGCAAUUUCUUUACUUUUCAAAAAAGCUCCGAUAAUUUGAAUAUUUAUGAAUUCAAUCAAAAGAAUUUUUCAGUUUAUCAAAUAUCUCGCUAUUCAUUACUUUUCUCUGCUAUUUACUUUAUUUUCCACACAACAUUACUAUUACGUAUCUUGAUGAUGAACUAACAACUGUAACUUGCAACGAGCUAUGCAACAAACAGACAUAGACUUAGAGGAAGAUGAUAUACCAGAAGAGGUUGUCACAGAGGUCGAGAAUUUUGAGAAUAGACCUAAGUCCAUCUUGGAUGAAAUCGAGGUCGUCAAUUUGAGAGAUAUAGAGAAUGUCAAAGAGACGCGCAUCAGUGUGCACUUAUCUCGGACAGAAAAAGAGGAAUAUACAGAGUUCUUAAAGGAAUAUGAGGAUAUCUUUGCAUGGUAUUAUGACAAUAUGACUCGUCUCAGUACAUCCAUCGUUGCUCACAAGUUAUCGAUAGAUCCGGCAUGUCCACCGGUAAAACAGAAGCUCAGAAAAUUCAAGCCAGAUAUGAGUUUAAAAAUAAAAAAGGAGGUCACUAAGCAGUUCAAAGCCAGAGUUCUUCAAGUGGUAGAGUACCCGACCUGGUUAGCUAACAUCGUGCCAGUAACGAAGAAGGAUGGGAAAGUUAGAGUCUGUGUCGUCUACCGGGAUAUCAAUCGGGCCAGUCCCAAAGAUGAUUUCCCCUUGCCAAACAUACACAGUUGCAGUCAUUCGUCAAUUGGGCAGGGUACCAUAAAAAAUAUGGAUGGAUAAAGAAGAUGCAGAGAAAACGGUGUUUAUCUCGCCUUGGGGAAUGUAUUGCUACAAAAUGAUGCCGUUUGGAUUGAAGAAUGCGGGAUCUACUUAUAUGUGGGUCAUGACUACCCUCUUUCAUGACAUGAUACAUAAGGAGAUUGAGGUAUAUGUGGACAAUGUCAUCAUCAAGUCCAGGAAGGCAACAGAUCACAUGGAGGACCUCCGAAAAUUUUUCAACAGACUAAGGAGUAUAACUUAAAAUUGAAUCUCGCCAAGUGUGCAUUUGGGUUCCUUGUGGGGAAGUUAUUGGGUUUCAUCGUGAGCCGUCAAGGAAUAGAGCUGGAUCCAUCAAAAGUCAAAUAUAUUCAAGAGUUUCCACCGCCAAAGAGCAAGAAAGAGGUAAUGAGUUUCCUGGGGAGACUCAACUAUAUCAGCCGAUUCAUAGCUCAGUCUACAUCAUCUGCGAACCUAACCUAUCUUGAAGAUGCUGAAGAAGGAUGCCGCCACCAAAUGGACCGAUGAAUGCAAAGGCUUUUGACAGGAUCAAGGAAUACUUGUCUACACCUCUAGUCCUGGUUCCGUCUGAACCUGGUACCUUUAUUGCUCUAUCUCACAAUUUUGGAGGGAGCAUCCUGUUGAGUCUUGGGACAACAUGAUGAGACAAGGAGAAAGGAUCAAGAUAUUUACCACCUCAGCAAGAAAUUUACCCCGUACGAGGCUCGGUAUUCCUUACUAGAAUGCACCUGUUGUGCUUUGACCUGGGUAACUCAGAAAUUGAGGCAUUAUUUCUGUGCUUACACUACCUACCUUAUAUCAAGAAUGGAUUCGCUCUGUUGUGCUUUGACCUGGGUAACUCAGAAAUUGAGGCAUUGUUUCAAUGCUUACACUACCUACCUAAUACCAAGGAUGGAUCUACUAAAAUAUAUUUUUCAGAAGCCCAUGCUCACUGGCGAGCUCGCCAAGUGGCAAAUUUUGUUGAGUGAAUUCGACAUUGUCUAUGUCACUUAAAAGGCAGUCAAACGACAGGCUUUGGAAGAUCAUCUUGCAGAAAAUCCUGUAGGAGGGGAGUAUGAACCAUUGAAGACGUAUUUUCCCGAUGAGGAAGUAGAUUUCAUAGGGAAGACAUUGCAGAAUCCUAUGACGGUUGGAGGAUGUUUUUCAACGGAGCCGCAAAUUUCAAAGCGGUGGGUAUCGAAGCAAUCCUGGUAUCAGAAACCGGUUCUUAGGAGAGGAUAUUGCAGAAUUCUAUGAUGGUUGGAGAAUGUUUUUCGACGAAGCCGCAAAUUUCGAAGGAGUUGGUGUCGGAGCGGUCUUGGUAUCAGAAACCGGUCAAAAUUACCCGGUAUCAGCCAAGAUCAGGUUCCCGUGCACCAAUAAUAUGGCCGAGUAUGAAGAUUGCAUCUUGGGGCUUAAAAUGGCCAUUGACAUGAACAUUCAGGAGCUGCUAGUGGUCGGAGAUUCAUACCUACUCAUACACUAGGUUCGAGAAGAAUGGGCAACCAAGAAUUCCAAGAUACUCUGUUAUCUGCACCAUAUACAGGAGUUGAGAAAGUGGUUCAGAAAAAUGGAAUUCCAGCAUGUUCCAAGAAUACAGACUGAGUUCGCAGAUGCGCUUGCCACUUUAUCAUCUAUGAUUCAGCAUCCAGAUACAAACUUCAUCAACCCUAUCUAUGUCAAAAUUCAUGAUCAACCGACAUAUUGUGCACAUGUUGAGGAAGAAGCCGACGGAAAACCCUGAUUCCACAACAUCAAAGAAUACCUGACAACAUGAGAAUAUCCAGAGCUUGCUAAUGUUACCAGAAGCGCACGCUUCAGAGAUUAUCCAACAAUUUCUUUCGUAGUAGAGCAAUCCUGUAUAGGAGGACCCCCGAUUUGGGACUAUUGAGGUGUGUCGAUGCGACAGAAGGAAAAAAGUUAUUGGAGGAAGUACACUCAGGGACUUGUGGGCCGCACAUGAAUGGUUUUGUUCUAGCAAAGAAGAUACUCCAAGCAGGAUAUUUUGUGAUGAUUAUGGAGACAUACUGAAUUCAGUAUGUCCGAAAGUGUCAGCGGUAUCAGAUACAUGCAGAUAUGAUGAAGGUACCUCCGAAAGAGCUCAAUGCAACAAGCUCAUCGUGUUCAUUCGCUGCUUGGGUAAUGGAUGUUAUUGGACCAAUAGAGCCUGCCGUAUCAAACGAACACAUGUUCAUCUUAGUGGAAAUGGAUUACUUUACUAAAUGGGUUUAAGCAUCAUCAUAAAAAACAAUAACCAAGAAAGUCGUGGCAGACUUUGUUCGAGAUCGUAUUGUCUGUCGAUUCGGGAUUCUAGAGUCGAUCAUCACUGUUAAUGGUUCCAACCUCAAUAGCGACUUGAUGAAAGCAAAGUGUGAAACUUUCAAGAUCAGGCACAGAAAUUCUACAGCUUAUAGACCUCAGAUGAAUGGAGCUGUGGAAAUAGCCAAUAAGAACAUCAAGAAAAUACUAAGGAAAGUGAUCGAAAGGCAUAAGAUGUGGCAUGAGACGUUGUCAUUCGCUUUAUUGGGUUAUCGUCCUAAAACUCGCAUAUCAACCGUUACAACUCCUAUAUGCUGGUUUACGCUACAGAGGCGGUAAUUCCCGCCGAGGUAGAAAUUCCGUCCUUGAGAAUCAUACAAGCUGAGCUAGAUGACAUAGAAUGGGUCAAGGGUCGCUACGAGCAGUUACCCUUUAUAGACAGAAAGAGAAUGCAUACUGUCUGUCACGGUCAAUUAUAUCAGAACAAAAUUUCCAGAGCCUUCAACAAGAGAGUUAGACCAAGGAAGUUUACACCAGGGCAGCUGGUGUUGAAAAAAAUAUUUUCACAUCAAGAUGAAGCCAAAAGGAAGUUCUCUCCCAACUGGCAGGGUCCGUACAUGGUUCACCGGGUUCUAACUGGAGGAGCCCNNNNNNNNNNNNNNNNNNNNNNNNNNNNNNNNNNNNNNNNNNNNNNNNNNNNNNNNNNNNNNNNNNNNNNNNNNNNNNNNNNNNNNNNNNNNNNNNNNNNNNNNNNNNNNNNNNNNNNNNNNNNNNNNNNNNNNNNNNNNNNNNNNNNNNNNNNNNNNNNNNNAUUGGCCAAAACCGAUCAACUCAGAUGCAGUGAAGAGAUACUACAUUUAAUCAGUAUGCUUUCCCCUUACAAUGUAAUUUGAACUAUGCCUGACCUGAUUUUCGUUUAAGAGGGGAUACGUAGGCAGCCCUAUGGGUUCGGUCACAUAUUUAAUAAAAGUCCAUCCCCCCACCCCACAUAUGGAACUGGGGCAGAAUUUUGAGGAGGACCCCUAAAAUUCCGAAGUCAGUUUGUGAGUUUCUUCAUCAGCAUCAACCCAGUAAAAUGGGGUAGAAUUUUGAGUCUCAAAAUUUCCAGGUCGAUCCAUUUUCAAGUCAUUCAGCACCACCGUCAGCAGCGCCAGCCUAGAGAACUGGGGCAUAAUUUUGGGGCGGACCCUCAAAAUUCUAGAGCCAACAAGGUUGCGGUGUCUUGAACCACGUUGUAGUUGUCGGUUCAUCAUAAAACAAAAUUAUUGUUUUCUUUACUUAUAUAUACAUUUUCAUCGUGUUUGCCAAAUUUUUGCAUGAAAUCAUUCAGAUCGAUAUCGUUCAGCAACGCUACCCCAAAUGGCACAGGACACCACGAGUUGAGGGAUGCGAACUAACCAUUCCCCUUUGCAGAGCUUAGGAUCUUUCUUUGGAUGCAGGAAUCCAGAAUACAAAUAGGCGGCGCAUGUGUUUUACAAAUCUGAAGUUCCCGAAACCACUACUUACCUUGCAAAGGUUUACUAUCAACAUUCAACACUUCCCCGGCAGUCAUGAUAUCGCAAUCAUCUACCCGCUAAGAAAAUCACCAUCAUCCUCUCCUUUAUAUUACUGCAUUUUGCAUAAGGCUAUUCUCUGCAUUUAGAGGUUAAGUGUUACCUCCAUCCUGCAUAAGGCUAUUCUCUGCCUUCCGAGGUUAAGCUCUACAUCCAUCCUGCAUAGGGCUAUCUUCUGCCUUUCGAGAAUAAGCUCUGUCUCCAUCUUGCAUUUUGCAUAAGGCUAUUCUCUGCCUUCCUAGGCUAAGCUAUACCUCCAUCUUGCAUAAGGCUAUCUUCUGCCUUUAGAUACUAAGCUCUGUCUCCAUCUUGCAUUUUGCAUAAGGCUAUUCUCUGCCUUCCGAGGUUAUGCUCUUCCUCCAUCCUGCAUAGGGAUAUUCUUUGCCUUCCGAGGUUAAGCUCUACCUCCAUCCUGCAUAAGGCUAUCUUCUGCCUUUUGAGACUANNNNNNNNNNNNNNNNNNNNNNNNNNNNNNNNNNNNNNNNNNNNNNNNNNNNNNNNNNNNNNNNNNNNNNNNNNNNNNNNNGCAUAAGGCUAUCUUCUGCCUUUUGAGACUAAGCUCUGUCUCCAUCUUGCAUUUUGCAUAAGGCUAUUCUCUACCUUCCAAGGUUAAGCUCUACCUCCGUCCUGCAUAGGUCUAUUCUCUGCCUUUCGAGACUAAACUCUGUCUCCAUCCUGCAUUGCAUAAGGCUAUUCUCUGCCUUUCGAGGUUAAGCUCUACCUUCUUUAUUUUGAAUUUGGCUGAAAAAUCAUCACCCACUUUCAUUUGGCUGAAAUAUCGCCGCCUUGCAUUUUAAAUUCUCGCUUUGGUUGAAAUAUCGCCACCCUUACAUUCAUUCGGUUGAAAUAUUUCCACCUUCUCAUGGGCUAAAAUAUCGCCAACUUAUUCAAAGGCAUCAUAGUUCGAAGGCACCAUCCGCAUAUCCCGAGAACACCAUUUCAUGGCCUGCAAAUCUUUACUUUAUGCUCUUCAUAGCCGAGGACGUCAUAGUCUGAGGACACCAUCCUAAUCGUCCGAAGACACCAUUCAUGGUCCAAUGGGAACUUGCAUCACGUUUAAAUUAUGCAAAAUAUAUGCACAUCGUUCAUUUGCAGGUACAUAACCAGUAAUCGUCCGAAGACACCAUUCAUGGUCCAAUGGGAACUUGCAUCACGUUUAAAUUAUGCAAAAUAUACGCACAUCGUUCAUUUUCAGGUACACCGGCUGGCACACUCACCUCAGCAGGAGCAGUCCCGCUCCAGUUUUCCGCAGCCCAUCCGAUCUCCGAACCCUUGACAAGUCUCAAACCCCGUUGCGUUCGCCUUUUCCAAAUUUUCAUUGGCAUAUCCCGCCAAUGGUCCCUGAACUACAUACGGCCCAAUUCCUGUAAAACCAAGGAUAUGUAGGCAGCUCAGAAGCCAGAGCACGGUCGAACUUCUCUUAUAGUCGUCAUUUCCGGUCAAAAUUGGCCAUCUAUUCUUUACCCGACAACUCUUUCAUCCUCCUCGGGUAAAGAGGGGCAGUUGUUGAUACCCAAUUUUCUUUACCCGACAACUCUUUCAUCCUCUUCGGGUAAAGAGGGGCAGCUGUUGAUACCCAAUUUUUCCCCAUGUAUUUAUAUACUCAAAAUACUCCCAAAAUAGCAUGUAGAUGCAUAUAUAAGCAUCCACAAAGGUCUUGGUAUUUUUCUACUUUUUUAGGUUUUUAAAAUCAAUUUACGAUUUUUUUGGCAAUAUAAAAUCCAAUAUUUAGUCCCAAAUCGUGUUAUUUUGAAAGUAAUCUAUUUUAUUCUCUCAUAUACAUAUAAAUAUAAUUUAUAUAAUUUUUUAUAAAGCCAUUAGGUAUUUCUAAAUUAAAAUUAUAUUUUAUUGCAAUUUUAGCCCAUUUGUCGAUUUAAUAAGUAUUUUUAUUGCAAAAUCAUUCCUAAUAUUUUUUAACUAAUACGUAGAUAUAUUUUAUUAACUCAUAUUUUUAUUGGAUUUUUAUAAGGUUUUUUUUGUAUUUUUAUGAAAUUUAAAUGGGAGAAAUGGUUAUUUAAAUGGUAGCCCUUUUUGUUUCAAUUCUAACCCAAAUUAACCCCCCAAAUUGACCCCCCAAUUACCUGACCCAAUCUCAAAAUUACUCGACCCAAACACACAUAAAACUAACCCGCCCCAGUUCCCUUUAAUCCUGGUCGUUGAUCACUCAGAUCAACGUCCCACAUUUUACUUAACAAAAUUAAAUCCCAAAUAACCCCUAAACCCUAAUCAGUUUAUCAAACCAGCCGCCUUUGAACCCUAAAUGCUCUCUAGCCCCUCCCGAACCCUAAUCGUCUCUAACUCUAUUUCACCGGCGUUCAUCGCCGUUCAAGCCCUAAGACGUCUUUAUCCAUUCACUCCUCAUCUCUCCUGGUUCCUGGGUUCGAAGAUCAGAACCCUACUUCGAAGUUGACUGGACCAGAGGUCCUCCGAUGUGAUUCCUACAGCCAUGUCCGGCCUUUCUACGGCAAGCCUUACGGCCCUGGGUCCUUUUCCGACUCCAACGAGUCCAUUCCAGGCUUUUCUCGAUACUUCGAGACCUUUCUCUGAAAACCCUAAUUUCUCGAGGUUCUUCUCUUUGUUCACUUUUACGAUCCUCUCUGAGUCCUAGGUAUCUUCUAAAGAUUUUAAAGUAUUUCUCGCCUCUUCUUCGCCUAUUUUUGUUUUCAAAUUGUUCGUCUUUUUAAACUUAGGAUUUUCCAUGACUUCUCUGAUUUCUUUGAUUUCGUUAUUUUAUUUGCUACUGUGUGUUCUUCUCUAUGAUUUUUGAGAAUUUUCUACUAUGGCUCUGAGGCGUUUUGCUUCACUGAUUAUUUUCUAAGGUUUUAAGUUAAUGUGUUAUAUGCUUUACUUUAUGCUGUUCUGAUUUUGUUCACCUACAUCUAUGAUAUUCCUUAUGCUCUAAUAUGCAUUGGAAACCCUAGCUUUAAGGGGGAUUUUCCAUUGUCUCUCUGUGAAUCCCUAGCCGCCUCAAAUUGCUUUCGUGUGUGUUUUGCUACAUGUUUAUUCUACUACCUCCAGUUUAUGCAUGCUCGAAUAGCUACCUCAAAUUGGUUUCGUGAGUGUUUUGCUAUAUGUUUAUUCUACUACCUCCAGUUUAUGCAUGCUCGAAUCUAUGCAUCUUUUAUAUUACAAUUUCCCUUUAUCUGAGCAAUCCUAAAUUGGAAAUUGAUUUUGUACAGUUGUUUGAUUCUCUAAUUGAAGUCUGUUUUCUGACUAAGUUCGAAUAAGCUAGUAUCUCGAUUCCUUGAUUUUCUGGGUAAUUAGUCUGCUUUAUAUGUUUACCCGUGUGACUUUCAAAACUUCUUACACGUAUUUUCUCAAUAUUCUGUGAUUAGUACAUGAUUUUCUAGGUAAUUAGACCGCCUUAUAUGUUUACCCGUGUGAUUUUCAAAACUUCUUGCACAUUUUCUCUAUAUUCUGUGAUUAGUACUCGAUUUUAUUUCCAAAAUUAGGCUAAAGUUUAUUUACCUCCAGCCGGUUCCUUAAUUAAAGGGAGCCUUCUCCUUAAUUGUUUAUGAUUGUUACUGUUGAAUAUUUUCUUGCCUUAAGUGUUGCACCUCUUUCAAACUAUAAAAGCCUUCACCUUUUCUCACUUAACAGACACGGAUAUACGACUACUCUCUAAAUCUCUCACAGAAAACUCUCUUCUCUUUUAUAUUCUUCUUUGUUACUUGCUUGAUACACGACUACUCUCUAAAUCUCUCACUGAAAACUCCCUUCUCUUCUAUAUUCUUCUCUAUUACUUGCUCUCUUUUCUACGAAUUAGCCGGCUGAAAGCCAAGGUUAACUAUAAGGAUUUAUACUUGCUUUAUUAUUCAAGUUGUAUCUGGUAGGCUCCUAAUUUUACAUCAUCAACCUCCAACUAGUUGUUUACUUAACCAUGUUCCCUGUCUGUUUGUGCUUUCAGUUUAAGUUCAGCAUGUUUAACCCCGUUCCCUUCCCCUAGUCUAUUUGUAUAUUUCAAUUUAAGCUUUAGCAUGUUUAAUCCCCUUCCCGUUUCCCUUGUCUGUUAUGUUUAAGUUCAACAGGUUUAAUCCCCUUCCCCCAUUUCCCUUGUCUGUUUGUGUAUUUCAGUUGCUGCAUGUUUAAUUCUCCCUUUUCCCUUGUCUGUUUAUAUUUCCGUUUUUCAGCAUGCUCAGCCCCUUCUCUUGUCUGUUUAUUGUUCAUUAUUGUGGUUUAAGUUCUUAUACAGCCCUUUCCCCUGAAUCCUUUUAAUUUAGUCUUGUUCUCUCAAGUAUACUUAUGUGAUUCCCCUUUUCCUGAUCCCUGUUUGAAUAUGAGUGUGUUCUAGAUUAGGAUAGCAUCCCAUUGCCACUCCUAGUUUAGAACUAAGGUUGUUAACAGCCUAUACUCAAAGUAAUCCCAUUCCCUACCCCCAUAUUAUGUGUUUGAGCCUUGACAAAGGCCUUUUGGUGUCCUAAUCACCAUACAUACCCUAGUCUGACUUGUUUACAAGUCUUCUCUUGCUUGUUAACCUUUGUAAGUGGUUAGGGGUGUGCUAGCCUCACUCCAUAGGCUAGGUAUGACCACCUCCUACAUUGGUCUUCCUCUAAUUCCUCACUUUUACACUUAUUUUUAGUUCUUUAAGUUCUACCCUCCUCAGGUAAGCCAUGCUUAUGGAUCUUGGAGUCUCCUCUGAACUUGUAUGCCUUAGGGCUGCACUUAUUCUUAGUUCUUUAAGUUCUACCACCCUCUGGUAAGACAUGCUUAGGGACCUCGGAGUCUCCUCUAAACUUGAAUGCCUUAGGGCUGGUAAUUCCACACUUGCACUAUUCUAAUUGAUUAGAGUGUAGGAAUUGCCUGGUUUUCUUUGAAAGCCUUUGGAACUUUGAUACACUCUAAAGAGAAAGCCUCGGACUUGGGAGCCCGAAUUUGGUAAAAGGCAUAUGUUGGACAUUAAUGUUGCUUUGACACUCCUCGUGCCUGUUCUAGUUAUUGAUAUAUUCAACUUUUUUAUUCCUUUAAUGUUUUUUCUGUUCAGUUUUGUAAUAAUUUGUAAUAAAGGAACUCGGGAAUAAAGUAAAAGGGAUAUGGGGAGGGUUUGCAUUUUUGCAUCAAUUAGAUACCAUAUAUAUAAGGGUUUACUUUCUUGCAUCUCAUAUAGAUACCAUGUCUAUAGGCUUUUAUUAUUGCACAAUCUCAUGUAGAUAUCAUUAUGUAAGGCUUUUCGUUACUGCAUCAAUUUCAUAAUAGAAAUCAUGUCUAUAGGUUUGCAUUGUUCUAGCCUCAUAUAGAAACCAUGCUUAUAGGUUUGCAUUCUCAUAACCUCACCUAGAAAAUAUGCCUAUAGGAACUAUAUAAACGCUAGGCACAACAGUAGGUCGUCCAAAUUUGUAAAAAAAUAGUAACAAAAAGGAUCAGUGUACAUGUUAUAAAGGUCCAGCUCACCCAGUGCUUAAGAACGUUUCAAUCCAACUUGUCUUGAAUCUGAUUACUUUCAAAUUGGGCCCAUGUCUGCCCCUUUCAUAAUACUCUGAACCUGUAAACGUCUUUUAAAUGCUGAAUCUGUGGUUUCAAAUGUUUUGCCUUCCUAAGUUUAAUGUUUCAAGGUCAUUAAAACUUUUCUCUGGUUCAAACAGUGCGAUUGACUUGUAAGCCUUUUCUAAACUUGUCUGCAACUUUAAAUCUCUUUUAACAGACUCUUGUCUGAAACUAACGUUUUCCUCCUGGUUUUCUAAAUCCUGUCAAUUCCUAAUAAUGGGCCCGGAGGGCGCAAAGCAAAUUUUAAAUCGAACUUUCAUGGGUUAAACUAAUCCGUUUGCUCUUCUGACCUCUUUUAAAGACCAAAUCAGUAUUUGAAGUCAUGCUAAACUAGUUGUUGUUAUGUUACGGGGUUUAUUUGCGCCUUUAAUUGUCCUAUUUGCAUACCACUUACAUGCUACGUGUUUUGAAUGUCGUUCUAGUAUUUUUACAUUUGAAACUCCAUGUAUAUCAUAUCUCUCUCGCCCCUUUCUUAGGAUUAAUCUAGUAUUUUUUCCUUUGAAACUCCACAUAUAUCCUAUCUCUCUCGCCCCUUCUUAGAAUUAGAAGUACUAAUACCCCAGGACAAACAGGUUGGGAUGGGUAUUAGCAUGCAAUAAGUAAACGAUACCAACGCGUUUAAAUACCUUAACGGGGUGGGAAGGGUAGAAUAUGGAGAAGAUGACCGGAACGCUAAUACCAUAUGCGACCCCUCUUUGAGGAGUGUGUGCGGAGUAUUGUGCCAAUGUUAUCCAUAUUAUAGUUAAACCUAGGCCCUUCUCUCUUUUGUUUGCUUUAUUUAAAUGUUCUCCUAUAGUAAUGCUUUUCCAAAUCAAUCCUCCAUUUUAUUUUAAACUUAUGCCCUUCCUUAUUCUUUAAAGCUUCCAAGUUGUGUGAAUGCUAUAUAUGUGAACCUUAUUUGUUUAAUUGCUUCAUCUCUUUAUAAAGUCACAAUUAACAUGGUAGGGAAACGCACUAGUGGAUCUUGAGGGGUGCCCAACACCUUCCACUCGAGAUAAUCUCAAGCCCUUACCCGAACUCUGGUUUUCUUUCAAAAUACUCCUCCCAUCUCUAAAAGUGUCCUAAUGCACUAUAAUCAUUAGGUGACGACUCUUCAAAUUCCAUAACCCAACUCCCAAACGAGAAUUAGAGUUAUUUUGCCCUUAAUGUCGUAAAACCCAAUUUCGCUUUCUGAAAAAGGGGCGUCAACACUGAGGCUAUUGCUUCUGCUAAUUGUGCAGGUAUAUUACCGCCCUCUUCAAACCCUUCACUUUAUGCACUCUCUUAUUUUUCUUUCAUUCAUCCAAAGAGCUGGAUCAUUGAUUCAGGUGCUUCUGAACAUAUGACAUCUAAUUUCUCAGCUCUAAUCAAUGUUGCUACCCUACCUUUUCCCUUGUAUGUUAAACUACCAAAUUCUCAUAAAGUAAAGGUUAGUCAAAUGAAGUGUACACAUUCUACCAGAUUUAACUAUUAAAAUUGUUCUUUAUGUGCCUGAUUUCAAUUUCAAUCUAAUCUCUAUUCAUAAACUCACAAAACACCUAAAUUGUCUCCUGUUAUUCACUUCUUUUGGUGCUAUUUUGCAGGCCCCUCAAUGAUGAGGCCAGUGGUAAUUGGUGAAAUUCUUGAAGGUCUUUAUCUACUCAAUCCAAAGUCUGUCUCUACUUGUUUCAAGAUUAAUUACCGGCAUGUUUAUCCUUCUGUGUCAGCUUGUAAUAGUUAUAAUUAAAAGAAUGUUUCAGUUUCAUGUUCAGUUCAAUUACCUAGCAAUGUAAGCUUAUGGCACAAACGUUUGAGGAAUAUGCCACUUUCUAGUAUGCAAUAUUUAUCUAAAUUUUAGUCUCAUUCCUUAUCGAAAUUUUAUCUACCAUGUGAUGUGUGUUCUAAAGCAAGGCAGACCAAAUUGCCAUUUCAUUCUAGUACUAUUUCCACUACUUCUAUUUUUGAUCUUUUCACAUUGAUACACGGGGACCUUAUAAGGUUCCUACUCAUGAUGGUUACAAAUAUUCUCUUACCAUAGUUGAUGAUUUUAUUAGAGGGACCUGGACUUACCUACUUAAAAUAAAAAGUAAUGCCUUUACAGUUUUGAAAUCUUUUCUUUCCAAGAUUGAGAGACAAUUCAACAGAAAAGUAAAAAUUGUGAGAUCAGACAAUGCCAUGGAGUUAAGUAGCAGUAACUCUACAUCAGAAUAUUUUUCUUCCAAAGGGAUUUUACAUCAAACCAUUUGCAUUGCCACACCCCAACAAAAUGGUGUUGUAAAGCGCAAAUACAAACACUUAUUGGAAACAAGUAGAGCUUUAAUUUUUCAGUCACAUGUUCCAGUAACCUAUUGGGGUUAGUGUUUGCUCACUGCCACUUUUCUUAUUAAUAGAUUUCCAUCCAAAAUUUUGAAUUCUAAAUCUCCUUAUGAACUUCUUUUAGGAAAGAAACCUUCUUUAGAAUUUUUAAGAUCUUUUGGUUUCCUUUGUUAUGCUUCUACUUUGUCUUCACACAGAUCCAAAUUUGAUCCAAGAGCUGUAAAGUGCAUUUUUAUGGGAUACCUCUUUGGAAAGAAGGGAUACAAGCUUUUAGAUCUAUCUUCUAUGAAGUUAUUUGUUUUUUAAAGGGAUGUCAAAUUUUAUGAAAGUGUUUUUCCUUUCUAAAAAUCCUCACUUAUUCAGACAACUUUUUCAGUUCCUGAUCAAAUGUCUACUCUACCUUCUUUUUCGUCCAAUUCUACAUCAGAUAAUUUAAUCUACUCUACUAUUUCUUUUUCACACAGUCAGUCACCUGUUUUACAUUCAUCUAGUAGUCUUGGUUCACCUACUACUUUCCCUACAUCUACCAAUUCUUCUUCUUCCCUUCCUACACACACAGUUAUUCCAGAUUCUUCUUCAGUAAGAUACUCUACACUCUCUCCCGUUCCUUGUACAUUAUCAAAUCAUACAGUAAUCAAGAAAUGACUUAGAGAAUAUAAAACACCAGCUUAUUUGACAGAUUACGUGUGCAAUUCUGUUUAUUUGACUAACCUAACCCCUAGUUGUUUUGAAGCAUCUCUAGAACCUUUUGUUUUGUCUUUUUCAGCUCUAUCCUCCACAAAUCAACAUUUUUUAAAAUCACUCUCCCAUAUUUCAGAACCUACAACUUAUUCCCAGGUAGUUUUACAUCCUGCAUGGCAGGAAGCAAUGGCUAAAUAAUUUGAAGCCUUGGAGGCUAACAAAACCUGGGAGCUUGUAGAGUUACCAAAGGGAAUGAAUGCUUUGCAUUCCAAAUAGGUUUAUAAGGUAAAAUAUAAGUCUGAUAGAAGUGUCGAGAGAUUGAAAGCUAGACUAGUGAUAAGGGGUGACAUAAACAGAGAGGGAAUUGAAUUUUACAGAUACUUUUUCUCCUGUAGUUAAGAUGACUACAGUCAGAUGUCUCAUGGCUAUUGCAGUUAAAAAGGGAUUGCCUUUAUUUCAAUUAGAUGUAAAUAAUGCUUUCCUUCAUGGUGAUUUAUAAGAGGAAGUUUAUACGAAACUUCCAGCCGGUAUGUUUAGUAUUGGUUCUAACCUUGGUGCAGGUUAAGAAAAUCUCUAUAUGGAUUGAAACAGGCGUCACGACAAUGGUACCCCAAACUUGCAACAACUCUCAAUUUUAAAGGAUACACUAAUUACCUUAACGAUUAUUCUUUAUUUUUCAAAAAAGGCAGAUUCGAAUGUCACCUUAGUUGCUGUAUAUAUUGAUGAUAUUCUUCUAACAGGAGAUGACCCUAAUGAAUUGAGUGUUCUAAAGCAUGUUUUGGAUACAGAAUUCAAAAUAAAAGACCUAGGUGAUGCACAUUUUUUUCUUGGAAUGAAAAUUAUCAGAGAAAAAUAAGGUAUAAUUCUUUGUCAACAGAAAUUUACCUUGGACCUAUUGACAGAGUUUGGUUGUCUUUAUUUGAGGCCUGCUUCUUCUCCGCUGGAUCCCUAUUGCAAAUUACAAGCAGAUUCUGGUUCUUUCCUUCGGGAUCCCACUAUUUAUCGGCGACUCGUUGGGAAGUUAAAUUUUUUGAAUCACACCCGAUCAGAUAUCUCUUUUGCUGUACAGCGGCUUAGUUAAUUUAUGCAAACUCCACGACAAUCUCAUCUUGAUGCUGCUAUGCACUGCCUUCGAUAUCUCCUAUCAAGUCCUGGUCUUGGGCUUCUUUUUAAUUCAGAACCAUCAUUCAAGCUUCUAGCCUGUUGUGAUUCUGAUUGGGGUUCUUGUCCCGACACAAGGCGAUCAGUCAGCGGAUAUUUUGUUAGCCUUGGGGGAUCCCCAAUUUUGUGGAAAUAUUAGAAACAAGCCCUCAUUUUCCUUUCUUCUGCUGAGGCAGAAUACCAUUCCAUGAGACGCGCGGUUUCCAAAGUCAUUUGGCUUGUUCGUCUUCUUGAGGAUCUUUCCGUUGGUCCAUCUUUUCUAGUUUCUAUUCAUUAAGACAGCCAAGCUGCGAUCCAUAUCGCCAGAAAUCCCAUCUUUCACGAAGCACAAAACAUGUCGAGCUCGACUGUUAUUUUGUUCGCUAGCAAUUUCAGGCUGGCCUCGUCUCCCUCAAUUUCGUUCCUUCUAAGUCUCAACUUGCUGAUGUUUUCACAAAAUCUCCGCCUGGAUCGGCUCAUCGCUAAAUCAUUAGCAAGUUGGGAGUGGUUUCUCCCCCUUCCAACUUGAGGGGGGGGGGAUGUGUUGGAAUCGAAAACCCCAUUCUAGACAAAGAGGAAUUGAAGAGGAGGAAACAUAACCCUACUGUAGACAAAGAUGAAUUAAAGAGGAAGAAACAGAUGAAACUACAGAGAAUAUCGGAUAUAUCGAAGAGUACAAGACCAAGUGUUUUAUGAUAAAUUCUGCCGGGUCAAAUAAAUUAAUGGGCC